CCUACGGGAGGCAGCAGUGAGGAAUAUUGGUCAAUGGGCGCGAGCCUGAACCAGCCAAGUAGCGUGAAGGAUGACUGCGCUACGGGUUGUAAACUUCUUUUGUAAAGGAAUAAAGUGAGGCACGUGUGCCUUUUUGUAGGUACUUUAUGAAUAAGGAUCGGCUAACUCCGUGCCAGCAGCCGCGGUAAUACGGAGGAUCCGAGCGUUAUCCGGAUUUAUUGGGUUUAAAGGGAGCGUAGAUGGGUUGUUAAGUCAGGUGUGAAAGUUUGCGGCUCAACCGUAAAAUUGCCAUUGAUACUGGCAGUCGUGAGAACAGUUGAGGUAGGCGGAAUGCGCGGUGUAGCGGUGAAAUGCUUAGAUAUCACGAAGAACUCCGAUUGCGAAGGCAGCUUACUAACCUGCCACUGACAUUGAUGCUCGAAAGUGUGGGUAUCAAACAGGAUUAGAUACCCCUGUAGUC
Molecule: ribosomal RNA, 460 nt
Filed under: uncultured bacterium
Lineage: Bacteria
Description: partial 16S ribosomal RNA
Rfam family: Bacterial small subunit ribosomal RNA
Source: RNAcentral